CUUUGGUUCUAUUUCGUUGGUUCUAGGACCGAAGUAAUGAUUAAUAGGGACAGUUGGGGGCAUUAGUAUUUAAUUGUCAGAGGUGAAAUUCUUAGAUUUAUGAAAGACUAACUACUGCGAAAGCAUUUGCCAAGGAUGUUUUCAUUAAUCAAGAACGAAAGUUAGGGGAUCGAAGACGAUCAGAUACCGUCGUAGUCUUAACCAUAAACUAUGCCGACUAGGGAUCAGCGGGUGUUUUUUAUGACCCCGUUGGCACCUUACGAGAAAUCAAAGUUUUUGGGUUCUGGGGGGAGUAUGGUCGCAAGGCUGAAACUUAAAGGAAUUGACGGAAGGGCACCACCAGGAGUGGAGCCUGCGGCUUAAUUUGACUCAACACGGGGAAACUCACCA
Molecule: ribosomal RNA, 390 nt
Filed under: Choanoflagellata sp.
Lineage: Eukaryota; Choanoflagellata
Description: SSU rRNA
Rfam family: Eukaryotic small subunit ribosomal RNA
Source: RNAcentral